This 480-nucleotide ribosomal RNA is filed under the name uncultured bacterium. RNAcentral's name for it is "partial 16S ribosomal RNA". It matches the Rfam family "Bacterial small subunit ribosomal RNA", at positions 28 to 507 of the family's 1533-position model. The record is from RNAcentral.
GAUGAACGCUAGCGGCAGGCCUAACACAUGCAAGUCGAGGGGGAAGUUACUUUCGGGUGACUGAGACCGGCGUACGGGUGCGUAACGCGUAUACAAUCUGCCUUUCACUGGGGGAUAGCCCGAAGAAAUUUGGAUUAAUACCCCAUAGUAUAUAGGGACGGCAUCGUUUUUAUAUUAAAGCUUAGGUGGUGAAAGAUGAGUAUGCGUUCUAUUAGCUAGUUGGAGAGGUAACGGCUCCCCAAGGCGAUGAUAGAUAGGGGUUCUGAGAGGGAUGUCCCCCACACUGGUACUGAGAUACGGACCAGACUCCUACGGGAGGCAGCAGUGAGGAAUAUUGGACAAUGGUCGGAAGACUGACCCAGCCAUGCCGCGUGCAGGAUGAAGGUCUUAUGGAUUGUAAACUGCUUUUGUAAGGGAAGAAUAAGGGCUACGCGUAGUUUGAUGACGGUACCUUACGAAUAAGCAUCGGCUAACUCCGUG